Molecule: ribosomal RNA, 267 nt
Filed under: Triticum aestivum (bread wheat)
Lineage: Eukaryota; Viridiplantae; Streptophyta; Magnoliopsida; Poales; Poaceae
Description: partial small subunit ribosomal RNA
Source: RNAcentral
AUGCCGCUCCUCUCGAUCCCCUCGAGGACACGCCGCCGCCGUCCUCUCCGAGAAGACGCCGCCAGACCUCCUCGACUAAACGCCGCCGCCGAACCCCACGGACCUCCGCCGCUGCCGAUCUGUGGGAGGCCGCCGCACAACCCCACGCACGCCUCCGCCUCCGCCGAUCCUAGGGAGGGUGCCGCCGAUCUCAGUAAGGCCGCCGCGGAUCAGGUCCGCCUACACCCUAAACCCUUCGUCCAUCUCUCUAUCGGUUUAUUAUGUUGA